AUUGAACGCUGGCGGCAGGCCUAACACAUGCAAGUCGAGCGAGCGGCGGACGGGUGAGUAAUGUAUGGGGACUGCCCGAUAUAGGGGGAUAACUACUGGAACCGGUGGCUAAUCCCGCAUACUAUCGCAUGACCCAUAUGGGAUUAGCUAGUAGGUGGGGUAAAGGCUCACCUAGGCGACGAUCUCUAGCUGGUCCGAGAGGAUGAUCAGCUACACUGGGACUGAGACAGGGCCCAGACCCCUACGGAGGCAGCAGUGGGGAAUAUUGCAAAAUGGGCGCAAGCCGGAUGCAGCCAUGCCGCGUGUAUGAAGAAGGCCUGAGGGUUGUAAAGUACGUUCAGAGGGGAGGCGUUACCCGCAGAAGAAGCAACGGCUAACUCCGUGCCAGCAGCCGCGGUAAUAC
RNAcentral lists this ribosomal RNA (403 nucleotides) under uncultured bacterium. Its description in RNAcentral is "partial 16S ribosomal RNA". It matches the Rfam family "Bacterial small subunit ribosomal RNA", at positions 30 to 526 of the family's 1533-position model. The record is from RNAcentral.